GGAAUGUAUUCACCUUAUUUUUCACGACAACAAGGGCGGCGCCAUUUCGCUCAUUUUGUCAACGUUCUUCCGGCCGCAUAGACGAUGAGCAGCUGAGGCAGUGACUGAAGGCGACGCGUUAAAGCUUAAAAAGCUCACCCGAGCGCCUUUAUGUUUCUUUCUUACCAAUUUUAAGCCAACUGAGGAAUACCCUUAUCCCAAGGUUCGACUACGAUGUUCCGGUAACUUUAAACCACGCCGGGUGUUGAAAAGGUGGCCAGUUUCAGAUGCAUUGAUGUGUAGUGAUGCAGUGGACAACUAUGAGGAUGAUACAAUCAACAUGUUCCUAAACUGUGAUGCAGAAACACAAUGGGAGGAUCCAUCCGUCUCUGACCACAACUACACUUUAAAAUCACAACUCAACCUAAAGCAAAUUACAUCUGAUAUGGGAAAACAAUGGUGCAGUUUCCCUGACAGGGCUUAUGCUGGUCCCAGGCUAAAAUGCAUAUUUGAGCUACAAUAAUUUAAAAACACCUUGUACUCACAUACCUCAACAUAUAUGAGUGUCAUUGUUUUGUCACAAGAUGCGCACCAGUCUUGUUUUUUUGUAGGGUUUGUUUGUAAAAACUAAAAUGUCCUAAUAUAAUUAAAUCCUAGUCCUGUAAACCCUGUCCGAGAAACUGCUUCAAUGUGUUGAGCUGGCACAAAUGUACAUAUCUCUGCUGAGAAACAACCAUCUUUGUCAGCUUUACACAGGGUUGAUAUUGCAUCCAUUACACAGUCGCCAAGCACUUUACCAGUACAUACACCAACAGCUUCCAGAUAAACACUUGGGAUCAGCUCCUGAUGACUCCGAUAAAGCUGUGUCUUAAUUUAUUGCAGGGUGGUCUUGCUUUACCUGUUGUAAAGUUACAUUAAACCUUCAUAUGUGAUCAGAUGUCAUGCAGUGAUAUUAAACAUUUACAGUGUGAUCAGAUGUUGUGCAGUUAUAUUAAACCUUUACUAUGUGA
Misgurnus anguillicaudatus (oriental weatherfish) is the source of this 989-nucleotide non-coding RNA. NCBI's taxonomy places the organism in Eukaryota, Metazoa, Chordata, Actinopteri, Cypriniformes, Cobitidae. The record is from RefSeq and is a predicted model, not a curated record.